UUUUUUUUUUCAUAAAACCAAAGUGGCAUAACUUGGACUUUUGAAAAGUGAGGGAUCCCUGUAACACAUAAAUCCUACUUGAGUGUACCACAAAACAGCCCCCUAGCCAGCUGUUACGUUUCAGGUAGUACCACUCAGAAGAUUUCUUGAAUCUCAGAUAGUUGUUAACAAAACAAUAUGCUGAUCAGUUCCAAAAAAAUAAAUCAGAGGCAAUCAGUUUUGGCAGCUGCUUGGCUCGUGAAAGGUGACACCCAAUUAGAGAAUAUGAUCCACCCCAAACAGUGUGUGCUUCCAACAGCCCACGGUAUUUACAGCCGCAGUCAUGGGUCUGACAGCUGUGGAUCCCGCCUGGAGUCACAAACUCCUCCAGAAGCCAUAAUAAUAACCUUUUACUCCUAUGCAAUGCUGCCUUUCAUCUGAGUUCUCACAACGACUCAGUGAGAUAGGGAUGGAAAGUAUUCCCAUCCCCCUCUGAAGCCCAGACAAGAGAGCAUCAGAGAGGAAAGGGUACCUUGGUGUAACGUGAUGGUAAAGCUAGCGUGGAGCAACAGGGCCACAAGGAAGACUUAGCCUGUGACACAUUCACAGCAACAACUCCUUUGCUAUUGUGUGACCUCCUCACCCACAUCUUUGCCCCUGGGUCUACAGGGGGUAAUCACCAAAUACAUAGCCAGUUUAUUAAUAACUUGUACAUGUGACAUGGUCAUUGAUUAGAAUUUUAGCACAAUUUCGGCAAGGGAAUUAUUCUUAAUACCUCAUCAAAAUUAUUUCUACAAAAUGUAACCUCAGUCUCCUUUGUCCCAUUCUCAUGUCUUUAAUAUCCUUUAGAAGAAGGGCAAGUCCUGAUUUUCAAAGGAAUAAGAUGGUCUCUAUCAACCCCUUGGGCAGAUUGUUAAUAGGAAGAAUGUGAACUCAAAGAUGGGGAGCAUGUUCAUUCCCUGGGAACAACUUAGACUCACUAAGAACAAGACAUGAGGUAGGCUUGUUGGUGGGAUGACCACAAGAAAGACUCAAAGGGAUGCAGUAGAUAUAGUGCUUAUUAAUUUUAACAAUGUCUUUGAUGGAAUUUCCUAUUUUGUGAACAAAUUACAGAGAUGUGGACCUCAUGAUAUACCAUUUGGUGGAUUUGUAACUGGUUGAAUAAAUUCGGAGAUGAUAAGUAAUGUGUGAUAAGAUCCUACAGUAUACUCUGAAUGAUAUAAUGAAGAAUUUUGACUUCUGUCUUAUCUAGUCCAAAACUUUUAUCAAGUAUUAUUAAUUUUUUGGCCUCUAGAGCCCAUCGAUCAAUCUACAUGGCUUAAGGUUGAGAGGAGAAGCUGAGGAGGGGCAUCAGAAACUUCAAGCCAAAAGCAGUCUGGAGCGAGAGAUGCAUCAGUUCAAAUCUGACAAGGGGUGCCUGGGUGGCUCAGUUGGUUCAACUUCUGACUCUUGAUUUCAGUUCAGGUCAUGAUCUUAGGGCUGUGAAGUCCAAUGCACAUCAGGCGUGGAUCCUGCUUACGAUUCUCUCUCUGCCUCUCCUCUCUCCUCCUCCCCCAGCUUUUGCAUGGACACAGCCAGCUCUCUCUCUCAAAAACAAAACUGCACAAGAUAGUAUUUCAAUGGAUAUUUUUUAAACAUUGGGGUUCUAUUAAAAGACUCAAGUGCACAAGUAGAGUAUGAGGAGACAUACCUUGGAACAACUCAUAACAAGAAGACCACAGGUGUGAGAGUACAUGUAGUCUCAGAUUCACACAGUAGUAGGGGGGCUCUGGCCAAGGAAGCUGCUAGGAAUAUAGAGUGCAGUGUUUCAGUGGGAACUGGUUCCUGUUUUCUUCUCCCCAUGAUCCUGAAGAUCUGUGCUUAAGAUGGUCACUAACCAAUUGGAAAAGGGUCACCGGUGGGUGAAGAACAAGGAAAAGAUGCUGGACACCAUGUUAAUUAAAUCGCAAAC
RNAcentral lists this long non-coding RNA (1930 nucleotides) under Canis lupus familiaris (dog). RNAcentral describes it as "lncRNA (ENSCAFG00000051062.1)". The record is from RNAcentral. Lineage: Eukaryota; Metazoa; Chordata; Mammalia; Carnivora; Canidae.